CGGGCUCAUCCUGGAGGGAUGGAGAGCCCGGCUUCAAGCGGGGUGGGGAGCCCAGCAAGGGACAGGUUGGAGAGCACCAGGCCAAGGGAGGGGAACGGAGGAGAAACUGGCUGUAAACAAGGGGAGCGUGACCAGACUAGCCUGGCUCCAGCACCGUGCUGAAGGCAGAACAAAAAAUAAACUGCAGAAAAAGCCAAUUAUGUUUUCAGCUGGCUGGAGCAGGGCUCGGAUCUGCGUGCAGCACGGCCAGGGGAGGCUCGGGGAAGUGUCCUGGGAUCAAGGGGUUGGGACUGUGCGAACAGGGUGAACCUGCUGGCUGAGCAUCUGUCCUGGAGCCUGAGAGGGCCCUUUGGUUGAGGAGGGGAGAGAAGACGAUCCUGGGCUGAACUGUGGCUGGAGGAAAGUGGAGCACAUCUGUCCCCUGGGUCUCUUGAUCUUUGGAAGUCAGGGGCUGUUCUCAGUUAGAAAUGCAAUUUCAAAAUUCCUUCAUCUUUUGAUAUUCGGGUUUCAGGUUUUUGGGGUUCGCUCUAAACUUUUUUUUCUGUAAUACCAAGCUUUAUGUGUUUUCCACAGAGUGUCAGAAAAAUCAUAAGCACAAACUGCAGCUGGUGCUUCUGUAGCCAGGGAGGAUCGGUGGGAGCAAAUGAGCUGCUCCCCACACUGCUUGGCUUUUGGGGGCACUGGCUGUGCCUGUCCUCUGCCCUUUGGGGACAAAACUGGUGUAAUGAUUGCACUCGGAUUCCUUCAGGCUCCAAACCAGACAAGAGACACGCAACUUACAAUAUUUGGAGUUGUUCAAAAGGUCUCCUGCUCCCUCUGAGGGUGGUGGCAGAUAUCAGUGAGCACAGCUGCUUGGGCACUGCCUGCACCUCUGUGGGGGCAGAGGAGUAUCAGCAGGUGGGUUUCCCUGCUCAGCUCAGAGUGAAGAAAAAGGAGGAAUAA
Molecule: long non-coding RNA, 942 nt
Filed under: Lepidothrix coronata (blue-crowned manakin)
Lineage: Eukaryota; Metazoa; Chordata; Aves; Passeriformes; Pipridae
Description: lncRNA (ENSLCOG00000010961.1)
Source: RNAcentral